CUUCCUGCUGGCCAACAAUAACUAAGCACCCUUAUGUUGGAAAUUUAGAUUGCAUUCCAAAUUCGGUCUGUAAGCAACACCUUCCUUUUCAUUUGGUAAACAGCAGCAUUUUCUCAGCGUCUUUAACUUUCGCAGAGGAGACUUUAUUCCAUUUCUCUAUGCCAAGCAUCACUUAUUGAAUGCCCAUUUCUAAUGUCAGCAAUGCCCUGCCAAGCACCUUUCUGCAUUUUGUUUUCCUCUCAAAAACAACGUGAAGCACCUCUAUAUUCUCCUCGUCUCCGUAUUCAUCUUCCAAUCGUUAAAAUCCGUACCAGCUGCCUGCCUCGAACAUGAUCAAUGGAGUCUAUUGGCAUUCAAGCCGGGUAUAACCCAUGGGCUACCCGACAAACCUAAGAGGUACAGGGAUGGCUUAACUUGCACCAUCGACAACCGGGUUAACACCAUAUCACUCCAUGGGCUACCUGACAAACCAAAGAGGUUCUUAACAGCAAUGAUACAUUGUUGAGUUUCUAAAGAAAGCUGGAAUGUCUGAGUGUAAACCAAUUGCUACUCCAAUUGUAGUAGGUUCUCAUUUAUUCAAAUCAAUUGGUUCUCCUCAUCUGGGUCCUAACCAAUUCAGAUAGUUAGAUGGUGCUCUCCAGUAUCUCACAUUCGUAUAACCUGACACUUGUUUUGUGGUUAACAAGGUAGAUUUUGCAUCACCCCAAAGCCUCGACAACAGUCUAUCUAGGCACCCUUCUUUGGUUCUUUGCAAUGGAAAAACUUCAAAAUCAAAAUGUUUAAUCCACUGGCACUACCCCAACAUCAACCAAUACCCUAACUUCAAACACCAACCCAACAUCAACUAUUGCAGGAUUCAUCGUGGAUAAUAAAGGUAAACAAACUGAAGUCCUUACAUCAAGGAAAAUAAAUGUUGAUGAUAGAAAAAGUCACAAAUGUAGGAUCAUUUUACAAAACUUGAUGGUGAUCUUAAAACUCCUAGAGUUGAAUGUAAUUAUUGUGAAAAAGAUUAUGCAUGUCAUACUAUUCUUAAUGGAACAAGUAAUAUAUGGAGUCAUUUAAAAGUAUGCAAAAAGUUUCUUUUUGUGCAUGAUAAGGAGCAAAAAAUUUU
Populus trichocarpa (black cottonwood) is the source of this 1111-nucleotide long non-coding RNA. RefSeq lists it as uncharacterized. NCBI's taxonomy places the organism in Eukaryota, Viridiplantae, Streptophyta, Magnoliopsida, Malpighiales, Salicaceae. The transcript has 4 exons. The record is from RefSeq and is a predicted model, not a curated record.